CUUUAUUUCAAUGAAAUAUAUGUAUCCUGUUGAUGCUGCUAAUAAUAUUCUUUUCUUGUGACACUGAAGUUUGGGAUUUAUUUAUUACAGCAGCAUAAGCCACCUUACCUAGACUUAUACACUAUUUUUAUUCCUGAAGGAAAUUUGACUUAUCCAAUGAAAUGAAGUAAAGUUAACAUUUACCAUGUACUGCUUAGAGACAACUCUGAAAAGCCCGUCACUGCUGAUAUCUAACAUGGGCUUUCGCUACUUGAGUAACUACAUUUUUCAAGAAGUAUACAUGGACUUAAUUAUCUGUGCCUGAGUACCACCCAGCAGCCAGAGGGUUAGUAGGGACUUCAAAGGCUAUCCCAGGACCUGGAGACUCUGUUUGACCAGACUGCAUGAUGAAUCAUUGUUAAUGCCUACUGAGAGGAUACUGUGCAUUAAAUGAAAUCAAAGAUGGAGCAAU
RNAcentral lists this long non-coding RNA (451 nucleotides) under Fukomys damarensis (Damara mole-rat). RNAcentral's name for it is "lncRNA (ENSFDAG00000024745.1)". Lineage: Eukaryota; Metazoa; Chordata; Mammalia; Rodentia; Bathyergidae. The record is from RNAcentral.